GGUUAAGUUAGAAAGGGCGCACGGUGGAUGCCUUGGCACUAGGAGCCGAUGAAGGACGGGACGAACACCGAUAUGCUUCGGGGAGCUGUAAGCAAGCUUUGAUCCGGAGAUUUCCGAAUGGGGAAACCCACCACUCGUAAUGGAGUGGUAUCCAUAUCUGAAUUCAUAGGAUAUGAGAAGGCAGACCCGGGGAACUGAAACAUCUAAGUACCCGGAGGAAGAGAAAGCAAAUGCGAUUCCCUGAGUAGCGGCGAGCGAAACGGGAUUAGCCCAAACCAAGAGGCUUGCCUCUUGGGGUUGUAGGACACUCUGUACGGAGUUACAAAGGAACGAGGUAGAUGAAGAGGUCUGGAAAGGCCCGCCAUAGGAGGUAACAGCCCUGUAGUCAAAACUUCGUUCUCUCCUGAGUGGAUCCUGAGUACGGCGGAACACGUGAAAUUCCGUCGGAAUCCGGGAGGACCAUCUCCCAAGGCUAAAUACUCCCUAGUGACCGAUAGUGAACCAGUACCGUGAGGGAAAGGUGAAAAGCACCCCGGAAGGGGAGUGAAAGAGAUCCUGAAACCGUGUGCCUACAAGUAGUCAGAGCCCGUUAACGGGUGAUGGCGUGCCUUUUGUAGAAUGAACCGGCGAGUUACGAUCCCGUGCAAGGUUAAGCAGAAGAUGCGGAGCCGCAGCGAAAGCGAGUCUGAAUAGGGCGCAUGAGUACGUGGUCGUAGACCCGAAACCAGGUGAUCUACCCAUGUCCAGGGUGAAGUUCAGGUAACACU
RNAcentral lists this ribosomal RNA (767 nucleotides) under Bacillus subtilis. RNAcentral describes it as "partial 23S ribosomal RNA". It matches the Rfam family "Bacterial large subunit ribosomal RNA", at positions 1 to 763 of the family's 2925-position model. The record is from RNAcentral. Lineage: Bacteria; Bacillati; Bacillota; Bacilli; Caryophanales; Bacillaceae.